UCAAAAAGGGGAGCUCAUGUAAGUGGGCUGAGAGUAAGCUGUGUGCUUUGACCCAAAACCUGAUUUGGAUAAUGCCAACGUAGGGACAUACAUAUGUA
Molecule: non-coding RNA, 98 nt
Filed under: uncultured Lachnoclostridium sp.
Lineage: Bacteria; Bacillati; Bacillota; Clostridia; Lachnospirales; Lachnospiraceae
Source: RNAcentral